GACGAACGCUGGCGGCGUGCUUAACACAUGCAAGUCGAACGGAAAGGCCCUGCUUUUGUGGGGUGCUCGAGUGGCGAACGGGUGAGUAACACGUGAGUAACCUGCCCUUGACUUUGGGAUAACUCCAGGAAACUGGGGCUAAUACCGGAUAGGAGCUCCUGCUGCAUGGUGGGGGUUGGAAAGUUUCGGCGGUUGGGGAUGGACUCGCGGCUUAUCAGCUUGUUGGUGGGGUAGUGGCUUACCAAGGGUUUGACGGGUAGCCGGCCUGAGAGGGUGACCGGCCACAUUGGGACUGAGGUACGGCCCAGACUCCUACGGGAGGCAGCAGUGGGGAAUAUUGCACAAUGGGCGGAAGCCUGAUGCAGCAACGCCGCGUGCGGGAUGACGGCCUUCGGGUUGUAAACCGCUUUCGCCUGUGACGAAGCGUGAGUGACGGUAAUGGGUAAAGAAGCACCGGCUAACUACGUG
Molecule: ribosomal RNA, 468 nt
Filed under: uncultured bacterium
Lineage: Bacteria
Description: partial 16S ribosomal RNA
Rfam family: Bacterial small subunit ribosomal RNA
Source: RNAcentral